RNAcentral lists this transfer RNA (77 nucleotides) under Chloroflexota bacterium. Its description in RNAcentral is "Chloroflexi bacterium tRNA-Ile". It matches the Rfam family "tRNA". Rfam says of the family: Transfer RNA (tRNA) molecules are approximately 80 nucleotides in length. Their secondary structure includes four short double-helical elements and three loops (D, anti-codon, and T loops). The record is from RNAcentral. Lineage: Bacteria; Bacillati; Chloroflexota.
GGGCCACUAGCUCAGUCGGUUAGAGCGCGCCUCUGAUAAGGGCGAGGUCAUUGGUUCGAUUCCAAUGUGGCCCACCA